Non-coding RNA from Triticum aestivum (bread wheat), 126 nucleotides. Lineage: Eukaryota; Viridiplantae; Streptophyta; Magnoliopsida; Poales; Poaceae. The record is from Rfam.
AUACUACUCCCUCUGUCCAGAUAAGCUUGUUCCAAGCUUGUCUAUCAAAUGAAUGUAUCUAGCACUAACUUUGUGCUAAAUACAUCCAUUUGAGGGAUAAGCUUUUUCGGACGGAGGGAGUACUAU